This 245-nucleotide unclassified non-coding RNA is filed under the name uncultured fungus. RNAcentral describes it as "sequence contains ITS1, 5.8S rRNA gene". The stretch from base 197 to 245 matches the Rfam family "5.8S ribosomal RNA", at positions 1 to 49 of the family's 154-position model. Lineage: Eukaryota; Fungi. The record is from RNAcentral.
UCUCCGUAGGUGAACCUGCGGAGGGAUCAUUACAGAGCAUCAUGCCCUUCGGGGUAGACCUCCCACCCUUUGUAUACCGUGCCUUUGUUGCUUUGGCGGGCCGCCUCGCGGCCACCGGCCUUCGGGCUGGUGUGUGCCCGCCAGAGAAACCCAAACCCUGUCUUACAGUGUCGUCCGAGUACUAUAUAAUAGUUAAAACUUUCAACAACGGAUCUCUUGGUUCUGGCAUCGAUGAAGAACGCAGC